This 696-nucleotide long non-coding RNA is filed under the name Olea europaea subsp. europaea. The record is from RNAcentral. Lineage: Eukaryota; Viridiplantae; Streptophyta; Magnoliopsida; Lamiales; Oleaceae.
CACACUAGUGGUAUUUGCUUUAAAAAAAAAAAAGCAUUGGACAGCACUACAGAUAUCGACUCAGACUCCAAAGUUAAAAUGACGAACUUUUUUAGGCACACUGCGUUCUUUCUAGUUGCGGGAGAUGAGUUGAAGAACCAAAAACAGAGCAUUGCAUGUAAGCAUGCAACCAGCAAACCGGCUGCAGUGUAAAGUCCUAACACAAUUAGCUCAUUUGAUUCAUGGAGCAAAUAACAAUAAUUGGUAAUGAACUUAUUGAUGCUGUCUGUGUAGAAGGGAAGUGUCCAAAAAUUUCUAGGCAUUUUAGUAAUGAGAAUAAUUUGAAAUGAAUUCAAAGUUCCCUCUUAUUUAUCUAUCAAUAUAUUUGUAUUGUUAAAAAAAAAACCCCCCUAAACCCUAAACCAUACUGCAUCAGGUUCAGGCAGCUUUGAACCAGACUUUAUCUAUUGAGGAGGGCUUCUGGAAGCAAAGGGCUGGCUCACGUUGGGUAUGUGAAGGAGAUCACAAUACUCGAUACUUCCAUGCGAUGGUUCAAGGACGCCGUAUCAGAUCGCGUAUUAGGUCCAUCAGGACACAGGCAGGGGAAGUCUUAGCUACUCCUGCUGAUAUUCAGACCUCGGCUAUUGCUUUCUACCAGGAUCUCUUAUCUACUCCUCCACAACCUUUGGACCACAUCCGUUCUGAUGUCAUUCCGAG